Molecule: long non-coding RNA, 971 nt
Organism: Amphiprion ocellaris (clown anemonefish)
Lineage: Eukaryota; Metazoa; Chordata; Actinopteri; Pomacentridae
Exons: 4
Source: RefSeq, a predicted model, not a curated record
CAGUUCUGUGUGGAUGCUACGCUCGAGCUAGAGCUGGAUUUACUUAGAAAACAAACCAUAGAAGAGGUAUUUUGACACAAAAGUUAACUGCAGACAUUACGGAAGUAGACAAGAAUCAUCAGACAUCUUGGAACCACGUAGAAAUCGAUAUUCCGGCUGUUUUUUUUUUUGAGGACUCUCUUCAGUGGGACUCUGAUCUCCAUCCAUCUGCCACUGUGUGUUGAUGUCCAUCCACGUCCACAUCUCCAUCACGCUGGGAUCGGCCAUCACCUCGGACCGUCUCGUUGGACAUUCAUUAUAAGGGGGAGGUUUCCCAGAGACUAUGGGUUGAGGAGGAAUUGGAAGUUUGUCGGCUUAGACCUGGUGUCAUUCCAUCAGUGUUAAACUUCCCGGCUCAUCUUGGAAGAGUACGUGCCAGAAAGACCACGACCAAGCAGCCUUGAGAUCUUAGGCAGCGUCUCCCUGAGGUCCCUCUCUAUCUCCCCACACAUCCACCAACCACUGGAACACAUCUCCAAAGUUCUGCCGGACCAGCUCAGCUUCCCCUCAGAAGAAGUGCUGCCACCUGCCAGAAGAAGGAGCCUUUUGAGAGGCAGCUGGCAUCGUGAUUGGACUGUACUUUGGUCUGUUCCAAUCCAGCUUCAGCUCCAGAGACGGCAGGCGGGACGAGUCAACGGAGGCCGGGUGGACGAAGGCAUGCAGCUGAGUACAAUCCAGAAAACAACAGAGGAGGAGAGCAGCAGCCCAGAGCCAGAACAAACAGAGUAGCAUCGUAUGUCUCUUAGAAAACAUCAUAGUAUAGCCUUUGGUAUGAAAAAACGCCAUCAUAUACAUCGUAUAUUGUACAAAUAACAAGUCAAAGCAAAGAGACAUACAAUGUAGAAUUGUAGUAAUUGUGGGCUGACUGAUUUACUGAUUAUCAGUAUUUUAUUUUUUUACUGAUUUAUGGUAAUAAAUACAUUUAAAAAUGG